UUGCAGUUAAAAAGCUCGUAGUUGAAUUUCUGGUCAAUCGUAGUCUUGGCUUCGGUCGGGCUAUGGUUGGUCAUCCGUUUGCAAGCUGCACUCGGCCUUCACUGGUUCGGUGUAGUGAGCUGACAUUUUACUUUGAAAAGAUUAGAGUGUUUCAGGCAGGCUUUUGCCCGAAUACAUUAGCAUGGAAUAAUGGAAUUGGACUUAGGUUCAUUUGGUUGGUUAUUGGAUCUGAGUAAUGGUUAAUAGGGACAGUUGGGGGCAUUAGUAUUUAAUUGUCAGAGGUGAAAUUCUUGGAUUUAUUAAAGACUAACUUAUGCGAAAGCAUUUGCCAAGGAUGUUUUCAUUAAUCAAGAACGAAAGUUAGGGGAUAAAAGACGAUCAGAUACCGUUGUAUUCUUAACUAUAAACUAUACCGACUCGGAAUUAGUAGGGUAUUUUAGCUCUAUUAGCAUCGUAGGAGAAAUCAAAGUCUUUGGGUUCUGGGGGGAGUAUAGUCNCAAGGCUGAAACUU
This 511-nucleotide ribosomal RNA is filed under the name uncultured eukaryote. RNAcentral describes it as "SSU rRNA". It matches the Rfam family "Eukaryotic small subunit ribosomal RNA", at positions 613 to 1145 of the family's 1831-position model. The record is from RNAcentral.